AGAGUUUGAUCCUGGCUCAGGAUGAACGCUGGCGGCGUGCAUAACACAUUCAAGUCGAAACCGGUGAAAUGACUUCGGUCAUGGAACAGUGGCGGACGGGUGAGUAACGCGUGAAUAACCUGCCUGUGUGUGGGGGAUAACAACCGGAAACAGUUGCUAAUACCGCAUGAUGUAUAAGAGUCGCAUGUCUUUUAUACCAAAGAUUUAUUGCACACAGAUGGAUUCGCGUCCGAUUAGAUAGUUGGUGAGGUAGCGGCCCACCAAGUCGACGAUCGGUAGCCGGACUGAGAGGUCGAACGGCCACAUUGGAACUGAGAAACGGUCCAGACUCCUACGGGAGGCAGCAGUGGGGAAUAUUGGGCAAUGGGCGAAAGCCUGACCCAGCGACGCCGCGUGAGGGAAGAAGGUUUUCGGAUUGUAAACUUCUGUCCUUGAUGAAAAGCAGUACAUGGUAAUCAAGGAGGAAGCCCCGGCUAACUACGUGCCAGCAGCCGCGGU
RNAcentral lists this ribosomal RNA (498 nucleotides) under uncultured bacterium. RNAcentral describes it as "bacterial SSU rRNA". It matches the Rfam family "Bacterial small subunit ribosomal RNA", at positions 8 to 521 of the family's 1533-position model. The record is from RNAcentral.